This 209-nucleotide unclassified non-coding RNA is filed under the name soil metagenome. RNAcentral's name for it is "partial contains 5.8S ribosomal RNA, internal transcribed spacer 2, and large subunit ribosomal RNA". The record is from RNAcentral.
AAGACUAUAGACCUGCGGAGUACCUGCGGAAGGAUCAUUACCGAGUUAUUACUCCAAACCCUUUGUGAACCUUACCAUUGUUCUGUUGCCUCGGCGGGGUUGGCCCCUAAAGCCUCUCCCGCCGGCAGCACUAAACUCUUGAAUUUUAUAGCGGAUUAUACUUCUGAAUAAAAUACAAAACAAAUAAAAACUUUUAACAACGGAUCUCU